UCGAGUUGAUAUAGAUGAUGAGGAAUAGUUCGUUAAAAGAGUAACGAACUAUUCCUCAUCAUCUAUAUCAUCACUUUCUGUG
Brugia malayi is the source of this 82-nucleotide non-coding RNA. Lineage: Eukaryota; Metazoa; Nematoda; Chromadorea; Rhabditida; Onchocercidae. The record is from RefSeq and is a predicted model, not a curated record.